UUCAGGUUACGUUGUCCCUUAUAUCCUGACUCUUCUAUUUUGAAGUCGAUACAAACGACUAGUGCAAGUUUGAAGAACUAUAAUUAAGCGCCAUCUCUUCCGAGUGUUUGGCUAGAGGCUGGGCUAUAGCCGCUUGGAACACUCGUGGGCGCUGUCGGGAACCGCAACCUGCCUCCUGAGGUGUCACUGAUGGGACUCACCAUGUGCUUUGUAAGCCCACGAUUCACCAUGACUAUAUUCUUAGCAAGGUGUUGCAUAACAACAAGAAGGGAUUCUUCAGUGUAUGACAGGAAGUGAUUAAUAUGAAAAGUAAAAUGCCAACUUGAAGUCAGCAGAAUCUAAAUGCUAACAGGAAAAACAGAAAAGUAAAUAAAUUCAGAUUCUGGACAUUACUCCAAAGGAGAGUGCAGCUCACCCUGGUGACCCGGAGCGCCAUGGCUUCCUCUCCACCAGGUUGCAGCUCAGUGGGAAGAAGCAGAAAACGGGAGCCCCCGAC
Artibeus jamaicensis (Jamaican fruit-eating bat) is the source of this 496-nucleotide long non-coding RNA. RefSeq lists it as uncharacterized. The transcript has 4 exons. Lineage: Eukaryota; Metazoa; Chordata; Mammalia; Chiroptera; Phyllostomidae. The record is from RefSeq and is a predicted model, not a curated record.